Molecule: ribosomal RNA, 800 nt
Filed under: uncultured Glomeromycotina
Lineage: Eukaryota; Fungi; Glomeromycota
Description: SSU rRNA
Rfam family: Eukaryotic small subunit ribosomal RNA
Source: RNAcentral
AUCAACUUUCGAUGGUAGGAUAGAGNCUACCAUGGUUUUAACGGGUAACGGGGAAUUAGGGUUCGAUUCCCGGAGAGGGAGCUGAGAAACGGCUACCACAUCCAAGGAAGGCAGCAGGCGCGCAAAUUACCCAAUCCCAAUACGGGGAGGUAGUGACAAUAAAUAACAAUAUGGGGCUCUUAUGGGUCUCGUAAUUGGAAUGAGUACAAUUUAAAUCUCUUAACGAGGAACAAUUGGAGGGCAAGUCUGGUGCCAGCAGCCGCGGUAAUUCCAGCUCCAAUAGCGUAUAUUAAAGUUGUUGCAGUUAAAAAGCUCGUAGUUGAAUUUCGGAAUUUGUCGGUUGGUCGGGCUUCACUGUCCGCACUGGCCUGAUGGAUUCCUACCUUCUGAAUAACCAGCAUGCUAUUAAGUUAGUGCGUUGGGGAAGCAGAGCUAUUACCUUGAAAAAAUUAGAGUGCUUAAAGCAGGCUUACGCUUGAAUAGAUUAGCAUGGAAUAAUAAAAUAGGACGGCAUGGUUCUAUUUUGUUGGUUUCUAGGAUCACCGUAAUGAUUAAUAGGGAUAGUUGGGGGCAUUAGUAUUCAAUUGUCAGAGGUGAAAUUCUUGGAUUUAUUGAAGACUAACUUCUGCGAAAGCAUUUGCCAAGGAUGUUUUCAUUAAUCAAGAACGAAAGUUAGGGGAUCGAAGACGAUCAGAUACCGUCGUAGUCUUAACCAUAAACUAUGCCGACUAGGGAUCGGACGAUGUUAAUUUUUUAAUGACUCGUUCGGCGCCUUACGGGAAACCAAAGUGUUUGGGUUC